GCGAUUUUAGUUUAUUAAUAGAAUAUUGGUUUGUCUAACCGACGGUGAUCACAAGAUCAAAUCGCU
Molecule: transfer RNA, 66 nt
Filed under: Schistocephalus pungitii
Lineage: Eukaryota; Metazoa; Platyhelminthes; Cestoda; Diphyllobothriidea; Diphyllobothriidae
Description: tRNA-Asp
Source: RNAcentral